CCUCGCUGGUACCGUAGGUUCCCGGGCCUUUUCUAGGUACUGAAUUUCAAAUAAAUACAAUAAGUCGUUUUUAAAAGUCUCGAGCGGUCCGGAAGCCCCGCACGCCUUGCGUGCCCCCCCGAGGGCUGUCUUUAGCGGGCAGAAUCCCCCGAAGAGGUCUUGGCACCCGGAUCCCCUAGCACAAGCCUUGCCCGCGAGGGCUUCUUAAAUGCUUGUUCGAUUGAAUUUUACAGAUGGGGAAACUGAGUCCCGGAGAAGGUGACAGAGCAGAAUUGGUGUCUGCUGCUUCUUGUGGGAUGAGCGACUGCUGGAGAAAGGUGUUUGUGUGGAACCACUAGAGCAGUGGGGACCGUGUUUCAUGCAAUCCUCCCCCCAAUUAUCCAGGUAACUGAGAAAGGCUCUAUGAGGACUGGCUAUCUUAGCUAAGAUACAGAGUGGCUGGACAUACCAACAAUCCUUUGCGGUGACUGGGAGUAAAACCAGCUGAACAUGUAGAAAACUGCAGCUCUGAAGCCAGUUAAGCUCCUAGCAGCUUUCAAGCAGACCUGCAGCCAUUUGGUGGCUUACGGACCUUCAAGAAACAUCCUUGUCUUCAGAGACUCCGCUGUCAGUUAUGAGGCUCUUAGACACAUCCUGUUUUACAUCCCCUUACCUUAUGAUUUGUGCUCCAGCCUGCUUAUCGCCAGAAAGCCUUCUGGAUUUGUGGAUCAAAGGGCCACAGCUCUGACACCUGGAAUUCCCCACUCCCCCCUCCCCUUGGGAACUGGCUCCGUGACUCAGUCCUUUCUAGGAGUCCCACCUUUCUCCCCAAAUUUCCUGCCUUUCUUUGUUCAAAAAGUACCUAUAUUCUCCCUAUUCAUUACUUCGUGGGUUGUUAAACAUUAGGCUGGCAGUUCCCAUGCACAUGUUUUAGUCCCCUGCUUAAUAAAAAUCUUUAAUUUC
Phascolarctos cinereus (koala) is the source of this 942-nucleotide non-coding RNA. The record is from RefSeq and is a predicted model, not a curated record. Lineage: Eukaryota; Metazoa; Chordata; Mammalia; Diprotodontia; Phascolarctidae.